AUAUCAAUAAGGAGAAAAAAUU
This 22-nucleotide ribosomal RNA is filed under the name Rhizoctonia solani. RNAcentral describes it as "28S ribosomal RNA". Lineage: Eukaryota; Fungi; Basidiomycota; Agaricomycetes; Cantharellales; Ceratobasidiaceae. The record is from RNAcentral.